UUUUUUUUUUUUUUUUUUUUUUUUUUUUUUUUGGUGUAAACAGUUGUUUUGUGAACCACCAUGACUGUUCACCUCCACCAUUUGAUGCCGAUGUUGACCGGAAACCUUCACCAUCGUCGCCUGUGUGCGGUGUCCCGACUCUCUUUUUCUCUCUCCCGGUUCAAACUAUGAAGUCUCUGUUUCUCUCUGCCUAAUUUGAAAUAAAUGGGUGUGUUUGAGAAGGUGAAUUAUAGUAUAGUAUUUGAUGGUUUUCGAUAAACCAUGGCUGGAAAUAUUAUUUUAGGUGGUAAUUUGAAUCACUAAAAUCAUUAUUUGUAGGUGGAUUUGUAUUUUUUUUAGGCGGUUUAGUAUAUUCAAGAUAUUUAGAAUCACCCAAAUAUUGGGCGUGAUUUAGCUACAAACCACCCAAAUAUUUCUUUCUUCGGGGAAGCUGGAUAGUGGUGGGUUUGUGUGUGUUUGUGGUGGUUGGAUCUGGUAGUGGUGGAGGUUGGUUGGAUACGGGCGGCUGCUGGUGGUAGGGCUGGAUACGGUGGUGGUGGUUGAGAUUGGUUGAAGAGAGAGAAGGGGGAUAGUUGAGAGAAAGAGAGGGUUUUAUGUGUGUAUGUAUAUAAUUUAUUUAAACAAAUUAGUAAAAUUACUUAUCUACCCUUUUGAGCAAGUCACAUGAUUAAAUUUAACUGAAAAUUUUAACCUAGUUAGUGUUAAAGGACCUAAGAUGCAAUGUGUUUAGUGUAUAAAGGACUGUGACUGUAAUUAUUGAAGUUAAAGGGUAUCCAUUGCAAUCUGAUACAAACAUAAAGGACGAAAAGUGUAAUUUAUCCUAUUUUUAUAUAGCCGCCCAACUAAAAAUUCAAAACCCAGUGGUUCGAAUGAACCCGGAACCUUGUACAUAGAUCCGUCCCUGGAUUUCGACCUGGAAAAAAACCGAUCCUCAGAUCCGAACCCGUUUUAACUGGUUACCCCACCCGACCCUACCUACCCGUUUUGCGAUGAUUCUUGUUGUACAGGGCUACACUUCUCCAGAAUGGCGGGAAAACGUUAAUCAACACAGGCACAAAACCCUAUAUUCUCUGAACUGUACUCUCAACUCCACUAUAUGUUCUUAGCCUUUAAUUAUCGCAUCAUAUUCUUCCAUAAAAACCCUAGGUCCAUACGAUUCAAUUUCUACGCAAUGUCAUCGUCUUCUUCACCGAAGAUCGUCGCAGAGUACGCAAAAUCAGGCAAAUCGUCAUGCAAGAAAUGCUCCGAGAAGAUCGAUUCCAAGUCUCUGAGGUUAGGGUUGAAGACUCGGGACCCGAGGGGAUUUGAUAGCGUCAAAUGGCAUCACUUCGGUUGCUUUUCUUCUUUGGAUUCCGUUUCGGUUUCGGUUUCUGAAACCGAUAUCGAAGGGUUUUAUCAACUCACGGAAAGUGAUCAGGACAAGUUGAAGCAGAUGGCGAGUGAAGGGGAUCAGUCUUCUACAAAGAGAGAAGGAGAUGUAGGGACUGAGACAGACAAAAGGGAUACAAAGAAGCUAAAGACUCAUGAAAAUGAGGAAAUUGGUCAAGAAAAAAAGAAUGUUACAAACGAAAAGAUUGUUGCAGAGUAUGCAAAGUCAGGAAGAUCGUCAUGCAAGAAAUGCUCUGAGAAGAUCGAAUCCAAAUCCUUAAGAAUGGGGUUGAGUAGUUGGGACUCACGCGGUUUUGAAAAUACCAAAUGGCAUCACUUAGACUGCUUCUUUCCUGUAGAUGCAGACCUGGUUUCAGCAGAAUCAAUCAAAGGGUUUGCAGAUUUGAAGGUGAACUCAAUGGGUUCUGUUCAUCUUUGUAGCUAACAAUUUGUUUACACUCAUCACUUUUUUAUCAUUAGAGCGAUGAUCAAGAAAAGUUGAAGAAACUGGUGGCUGAACAGGAUCAGUCUUGUAAGAAGUCGAAUGAAGAUGGUGAAACUGAGCUACAGGAAUCGGAUCAGAAGAGUGAAAAGAUAUCUGGUUCACCAGACGAGGCCAUUGGAUCUGAGAUAGCCUAUGCAGUUAGCAAUGUCAAGGACGAUUAUAAGGGUGCGACGUUACAACCGAAAUGGAAGGCAUUCCAGACUAUCAUAUAUCUUGAACGGGAUGACGGCCUCCACGAUUCAAAAAAAAUUGCUGCCUUUGAUUUCGAUGGAUGUCUUGCAAAAACAUCAGUUCAAAGAGUUGGUGCAAACGCGUGGUCUCUUAUGUACGCUUCAAUACCAAAGAAGUUGCAGAGCUUGUAUAAUGAUGGCUACAAACUGGUUAUCUUCACCAAUGAAUCAAAUAUCGAGCGCUGGAAGAACAAACGUCAAGUAGCUGUGGAUUCUAAAAUUGGAAGACUAGACGCUUUCAUCAAGCUCGUAAAUGUCCCAAUUCAGGUUUUUAUUGCUUGUGGUGUAAGUAAAGGUCAAGAGGUGGACCCUUUUCGCAAACCACAACCUGGAAUGUGGCGCGUCAUGGAACAACAUUUUAACUCUGGAAUUCCAAUCGAUAUGGACCAGUCAUUUUAUGUUGGUGAUGCUGCUGGAAGAAAAGAUGAUCAUAGUGAUGCUGACAAGAAGUUUGCAGAGGUAAUUAAUAUACAUCACCAUCAUGUUCCAUCUUCGAGAAAAUUGGAUUGAAGUUUUACCUUCCUGAGGAAUACUUUGAUGCAUGAAGGAUCUUAUGGCAAACAUAAGCCUACUAUUUUGUUCUUUUGAUUUGCUCUCAUAUAUCUAUACUUAAGUAGGCUUGUAACCUAUGAUGGUUUCACACUUUCACUUCUUGGUUUAAUCAAAAGCUUGCUUCUUCUCCUUGAU
Helianthus annuus (common sunflower) is the source of this 2790-nucleotide RNA transcript. It is a transcript of the gene named polynucleotide 3'-phosphatase ZDP, with no coding region annotated. The transcript is spliced from 15 exons. Lineage: Eukaryota; Viridiplantae; Streptophyta; Magnoliopsida; Asterales; Asteraceae. The record is from RefSeq and is a predicted model, not a curated record.